Molecule: long non-coding RNA, 216 nt
Filed under: Olea europaea (common olive)
Lineage: Eukaryota; Viridiplantae; Streptophyta; Magnoliopsida; Lamiales; Oleaceae
Description: long non-coding RNA (OEUR_LNC011521)
Source: RNAcentral
CUCGAUUUAAAACUAAAAAUUAAACAAUGUUGUCAUCAUCCAAUACAUGAAAAUAUUUAGCCUAGCAUAUUUUUAAAAUUAGAUAAAGAAAAGUGGAAGGACAUCACCAAGAAUUUAUGGAACGUGAAUAACUUCAAUGGCGUGUAUAACUCUAUCAAUUUCUCCCCAGUUGGCUGCCUUUUGAUGCGUAUAAAAUAUAUAAAAUUCUGCCCCACU